RNAcentral lists this microRNA (22 nucleotides) under Zea mays. RNAcentral's name for it is "miRt17". Lineage: Eukaryota; Viridiplantae; Streptophyta; Magnoliopsida; Poales; Poaceae. The record is from RNAcentral.
UGGUCUUGCCACCGUGUCGUCC